GUACGCUAUUCAGAGUUUGAUCCUGGCUCAGGAUGAACGCUGGCGGCAUGCCUAAUACAUGCAAGUCGAACGAAUCACUUCGGUGGUUAGUGGCGAACGGGUGAGUAACACGUAGGUAAUCUACCCUUUAGACGAGGAUAACGGUUGGAAACGACCGCUAAUACUGGAUAGUAUGCAGAAUCGCAUGAAUCUGCAUUUAAAGUUCCGUGUGGAACACUAAAGGAGGAGCCUGCGGCGCAUUAGUUAGUUGGCGGGGUAAUGGCCCACCAAGACGAUGAUGCGUAGCCGGACUGAGAGGUUGAACGGCCACAUUGGGACUGAGACACGGCCCAG
This 333-nucleotide ribosomal RNA is filed under the name uncultured bacterium. Its description in RNAcentral is "bacterial SSU rRNA". It matches the Rfam family "Bacterial small subunit ribosomal RNA", at positions 1 to 334 of the family's 1533-position model. The record is from RNAcentral.